GCUGUUGAUGAUGAGAAGAUGGUAGAAUUUAUCAUGAAUGGUCUAGAUUUUGAUUACAACCCAAUUGUUUCCUCCAUCCUUGGCCGAGCUAAUCCUAUAUCCCUGAGUGAUCUCUACUCUAUACGCUUUGAGA
RNAcentral lists this small nucleolar RNA (133 nucleotides) under Setaria italica (foxtail millet). RNAcentral's name for it is "Small nucleolar RNA Z247". It matches the Rfam family "Small nucleolar RNA Z247". Rfam says of the family: Z247 is a member of the C/D class of snoRNA which contain the C (UGAUGA) and D (CUGA) box motifs. Most of the members of the box C/D family function in directing site-specific 2'-O-methylation of substrate RNAs. RNAcentral also lists the same sequence under 1 other name. The record is from Rfam by way of RNAcentral. Lineage: Eukaryota; Viridiplantae; Streptophyta; Magnoliopsida; Poales; Poaceae.